GGGCCUAUAGCUCAACGGCAGAGCAGAGUGCUCAUAACGCUUUGGUUGCAGGUUCGAAUCCUGCUGGGCCCA
RNAcentral lists this transfer RNA (72 nucleotides) under Anaerolineales bacterium. RNAcentral describes it as "tRNA-Ile". It matches the Rfam family "tRNA". Rfam says of the family: Transfer RNA (tRNA) molecules are approximately 80 nucleotides in length. Their secondary structure includes four short double-helical elements and three loops (D, anti-codon, and T loops). RNAcentral also lists the same sequence under 2 other names. The record is from RNAcentral. Lineage: Bacteria; Bacillati; Chloroflexota; Anaerolineae; Anaerolineales.